Molecule: long non-coding RNA, 151 nt
Organism: Choloepus didactylus (southern two-toed sloth)
Lineage: Eukaryota; Metazoa; Chordata; Mammalia; Pilosa; Megalonychidae
Exons: 3
Source: RefSeq, a predicted model, not a curated record
UUUACCAUAUAAAGCUUUUCCUCGGAGGAUGCUGGGAUGCUCCAAGGAGAGAGCUUGUUUCACUAAAGCAUCUCAGAGAAAGCCUAGCAUGCUGUAGGGCCUCCUCGGACUCCUUUAUGCGUUCAGUGAGAGAGCAGCAGCUGUGGUUCUA